GGGUGGUUAGCUCACUCAGUUGAGUGUGGUGCUGACAAUGCCAAGGUUGCGGGUUCAAUUCCUGUUCGGUCCC
Molecule: transfer RNA, 73 nt
Filed under: Apaloderma vittatum (bar-tailed trogon)
Lineage: Eukaryota; Metazoa; Chordata; Aves; Trogoniformes; Trogonidae
Rfam family: tRNA
About the family: Transfer RNA (tRNA) molecules are approximately 80 nucleotides in length.
Source: Rfam by way of RNAcentral